Molecule: ribosomal RNA, 459 nt
Filed under: uncultured bacterium
Lineage: Bacteria
Description: partial 16S ribosomal RNA
Rfam family: Bacterial small subunit ribosomal RNA
Source: RNAcentral
CUACGGGGUGCUCCAGUGAGGAAUAUUGGUCAAUGGGCGUAAGCCUGAACCAGCCAUCCCGCGUGCAGGAAGACGGCGCUAUGCGUUGUAAACUGCUUUUCCAGGGAAAGAAAACCCCCGACGUGUCGGGGCUUGCCGGUACCCUGGGAAUAAGCAUCGGCUAACUCCGUGCCAGCAGCCGCGGUAAUACGGAGGAUGCAAGCGUUAUCCGGAUUUAUUGGGUUUAAAGGGUGCGUAGGCGGAUUAAUAAGUCAGUGGUGAAAACCUUCAGCUUAACUGGAGACUUGCCAUUGAUACUGUUAGUCUUGAGUACGGUCAAGGUAGGCGGAAUGUGUAAUGCAGCGGUGAAAUGCUUAGAUAUUACACAGAACACCGAUUGCGAAGGCAGCUUACUGGGCCAUUACUGACGCUGAGGCACGAAAGCGUGGGGAGCGAACAGGAUUAGAUACCCCGGUAGUC